AAAAGCAGUCCAAAGUUAUAGAAUAAAAAACAACAUUUUCUUUGGGCAUAAUUAUUGAGGCUAGCUGUUCCGCACUUGUUGAUGCUACCACCGUUUUAAGCAAGACAUUACCACCGCUAUCUCUUAUCACUUUCAUUACUCCACAAACCCAUCUACAAUUCCUGAAAGAAAGAAAAAACUAUGGCGGAAGGAGCUUUGUUCGAUCUUGCAGGGAACGUCCUUCAACUGCUGGGCUCUAUCAUUGCUGAAGAGGUCAAACUGGCCUCUAGUGUUGAAACUGAGAUUGAAAAUCUAACCGACACAGUCACCACAAUCCGCGCUGUGCUUCUGGAUGCAGAAAUGCAGAGUUCUCAUAACCAUCAGAUCAAAGACUGGCUCAGUAAGCUCAAAGAUGUCCUCCAUGAUGCUGAUGAUUUGCUGGAUGAUUUCUCCACCCAAGUUAUGCGCCGCAAAGUGAUGACAAAGAAGGUACGCCUUUUCUCUUCAAGUUCAAUGCCGCUUGCUUUUAGUCCUAAGAUGGGUCAUAAAAUAAAGGCAAUUAGGAAGAAACUAAAGGCCAUUGCAAAAGAUAAGGAGGCUUUUCACUUUAGUCAAAGCUUCGUUGAGCCACAAGUCAUGAAUAGGGGGGACAGAGAAACUUAUUCUUUUGUACUUGAAGAUGAAGUUAUUGGGAGAGAGGAUGAUAAGAAAGAGAUCAUGGAACGUCUUUUUGAUGACAAUGUUGUAGAGAAUAUUUCUAUCAUUCCAAUUGUUGGUUUCGGAGGAUUGGGCAAGACGACACUGGCUCAAUUGGUAUACAAUGAUAAAAAUGUCCAAACAAAAUUUGAGAAAAAACUUUGGGUUUGUAUCUCUGAUGUCUUUGAUGUGCAACGGAUUGUUAAAAUUUUUUUAGAACAGUUGACAGAUGAGAGACUUAAAGACAGCUUUGAGAUGCGGCAAACUCAGCUUCGAGAAAAGCUUAAUGGAAAAAAAUACUUGAUUGUCUUGGAUGAUUUGUGGAAUGAGGAGAGUAAUAAAUGGCUUCUCUUGAGAAAUUUGCUAGUGGGUGGUGCAAGGGGAAGUAGGAUAAUAGUGACCGCACGCUCAGAAAAUGUAGCGAGGAUAUUAGGGGCAACUUCAUGGCAUGCUCUAAGAGGCCUACCUGAAGAAAAGGCUUGGAGUUUGUUUGUGAAAGUAGCAUUUGAAAAUGGUCAACUGCCAAAGAAUGAAGCCUUUGUAAGUUUGGGUAUGGAGAUUAUGGGGAAGUGUGGAGGGGUACCUCUAGCCAUAAGGACGAUAGCAAGCUUGCUAUACACCAAAGCCACAGAAAAUGAGUGGCGAUAUUUCAAAGAUUAUGAACUCUCAAAAAUAACUCAAGAUGAAGAAAAUGUUAUUUUAUCGACGCUUAAGUUGAGUUAUAAUCAUCUACCAUCGUACUUAAAACAAUGCUUUGCUUAUUGUAGAUUGUUUCCAAAAGAUUAUGAGAUUGAUGUAACAACAUUGAUUAAUCUUUGGGCAGCACAAGGUUUUAUUAAGUUAUCAGAUUCAAAGCAACGUGUUGAGGAUGUAGGGCGAGAGUACUUUAUAGUAUUACUUCGGAGAUGUUUUUUUCAAGAUGUACAAAAAAAUGAUUGCGACAUUAUAUCAUUUUGCAAAAUGCAUGAUCUCAUGCAUGAUCUUGCAGCUCUUGUGGCUGGGAGGGAGAGUACCAUGCUAACCUCGAGUGGGGAGUAUAAUGGUAAAAAUGUUCGUCAUGUAUCAUUUGAUCUUGAAAAUUCAUCAAGGGAACUUUCAAUUUUUCAGGUUAAAGGAAUGAAGAUACGAACAAUUCUUAUAGCUAGUGUAGGGGGGAAAUUGAGGAACUUAAAUUGCAAUGCACUUGUUUCAAAUCUCAAUUAUUUACGGACAUUAGAUUUAAGUGAAUUACAUUUACGUGUAGUGCCACAUUCAAUUGGGAAAUUAAAACAUUUAAGAUAUCUUGAUCUUUAUAAAAGUAGGGGUAUUAAAUUUCUCCCUAAUUCCAUUACCAAGCUGCUAAAUUUGUUGACACUAAAUCUUAAGAGUUGUUACUCACUUAAAGAAUUACCCAGGGGCAUUAAGAAGUUGGUCAAUCUUAGGCAUUUAGACGUUAGUGGGUGUGACAAAUUGACGCAUAUGCCCCUUGGACUUGGGCAUCUUACUUCUCUUGAGAUACUACCGAUGUUCGUCGUGAGGCAAGGGGGUUCCAAGGCUAGCUCGUAUAGUUGGUAUAAGAAAAAACAGGCUGGUGGACUAAGUGAAUUGAAGGAGCUGAGCAAUUUGGGAGGAAGUCUAUAUAUUCAUAAUUUGGGACAUGGAAAAGAUGACAUGGUGGAAUGUAAAGCCACAAAUAUGAAGCAGAAACCACAUCUUCAAGUGCUGAACGUAGUGUGGAAUGAAGAGUGGGAUGAUGGAGAAACUGAAUGUUAUGAUGACAUGUCACUGGAAGGGCUCCAGCCACAUCCAAAUCUUAAACGGUUGAGAUUGUCUUAUUAUAUAGGCGUGAGAAUUCCAAGUUGGGUCUCUUCUCUCACUAAUCUUGUUCAUCUUCAUUCAUAUAAAAAUAGGAGAUUGCAGCACCUCCCACCGUUAAAUCAACUCCCUUUUCUCAAGUUUGUCUUUCUUGAGAGAAUGGAAGCACUUGAAUACAUUUCAGAUGAAGACAGUGUUAGUAACGUGUUGGGUGCUUCCUCCUCCUCUUCUUCUUCUUCAAAAACACCAUUCUUCCCAUCCUUAUCUUAUCUUGAAUUAACGGAUUGCCCAAAACUGAAGGGAUGGUGGAGGAAUUCAGAUGAUAAUGAGCCACACCAUCUCUUACUUCUAUCAUUUCCUCCUUCUCUUUCUACAUUACGGAUUUGGCAUUGCCCUAACCUGACUUCCAUGCCCCUGAUUCCCGAUCUCACUUUGUUAAAUAUUGUUGGUUGUCCCCUCUUACGGCUACACGAAGGAAACAGUGAAGAUUGUCCCAAAUAAUCCAACAAGAAAAAACAAUUUAUUCAGAAUCUGAUUUAGAAUUAGAGUUGGUUUGUUCACUUCCAGAGGGGGAAUUAGCUUGUUUUUCAGGUUGUUAAUUACAGAGCUACACUCAAGUUUAAGAACUUUUGGAUUGCUUGUUAUUUUGUCACUUUCUCUGCCUCCUGAAGCCAUAGUCCUUGCUGCAUUUGGUUGUGAAGUCCCUGUAAACUUGAGGCUGCAGAACAUCUUUUUUUUUUUUUUAAUCAGUGGGGUCCAAACAAACAUGAGUAGGAGAGAAUCUUUUCAUCAAUAUUUUUUUGGUUGUAUUUAGCAUAUAAAUGAAUCACAUCACCAAAAAAAAAAAAAAAAAAAAAAAAAAAAAAAAAAGGAGGAGAAGAGAGAAUUACUUGGGGAGAUGACAUUUUUGGGGUGGAAUUUCUGUUGGAGAAAACCGGCUUGUAAAGAAUGUCUGCAUUGGCAUUGAGUUUUUGUUUCUUGAACAAAUCCUCUGGCAACUCCGUCACAAUCUUAGGCUCAAAAUCACUUUCUUCCUCAACCUGCUGCUCUUCCACUGCCACAGGAUCAAGGAAUUGACUCCAAUCGCUUUGUCUCUUGUUAUUAUGAACGUGAUCGUCGUGGACAAUAUCUUCUUCUUCUUCUUCUUCUUCUUGGAAUUGUGGAAGUGGAAGUGGGGGUGGUUCAGUAAUGGCGCAGGACAUGUUGAAGGACUGGAUGAAGCCGCGGAGGUCCUUGGCGACGAAUCCCUGCGCGAACACUUUGCAGACAGACUGCAUUUGGUUGCACACCACGCACCUCCACUUGCUGAUUUUCUUCUUCUUCUUCUGUUGCUGCUGCUUCACCUGAGACAAAAUCUCAACUUCCAUCAAAUCACAAUCAAAUGAGAUAGAGUCUAGCUGGUUUAUUUAGUCUAGUGUGUCUGGACAUGCACAAAUCUAAUGGUAAAUUAUCUAACAGAUUUCAGAAUACCCCUGUUUUUUUUACUUCCUUAUGUAUUGUUCUAUGGUGGGUUAUUAAUGCUCAAAGCAGCAUCCAAACUUAGGAACUUUUCAUUUUCUUUGAGUUUGGUGUUUUGUCUACUUGUCUACCUCCUAAAGCCCCCUUGGUUCUUUUAAUUUUUGUUGUGCAGACUCUGUUUGAAUAUUGGGCAACAUUGCGCAUGUUCUUUUCAUUAAUCAAUGCAAAGAAGAGGAGACCAACAUGCAGGGCCCCCACACUAGUAGGGGGGAUAGUGGACGUGGAACUUUUAAGCCAUUGAGAGGUAGAACGAGUAAGGAUGGUUGAGACAUGAUUGGUAAGAGAAGCAGUUUGAUUAAAUAUCCCAAAGAUGGAGUAAUUCACUGCAAAGCAAUGCAGAGAGGGGUGUGGCAUUGAAACCAAAAGGAUUUUCAAAGAUGGUUCUACAAAAAUCAAGCAUCAACUUUCAAUAGAUUGAGUGAAUUCUUAAUUUUGUUGUUUUCUCUUUUUGUGCUGUCUGGAGCUCAUUGUUGUGUACAAGUAGGUGACUAAUCCCAUUUAAUCUUACAUUUAAAAGAAUGAGUGUGGAACACAAUCUGCAAAAGUCUUAAAAGUUAUAUAUUUGUUUUUCGGUUGUCAAUUUCAAGUGCAGGGCAAAUUCAUGCUUGCUUUGUUGAUGGCUUUUGAGACUUCCACAACAAAGGACCUCUUUGAUGCUAGGGUGGAUGGAGGUCACUGUGUCGUAUUUGAAGUAAGUGUGAAGUGUGAAGAUGAUCCAUGUAUGUGUAUUCUAGAGAAAAGGGAAAGGGAGCAUUUUUCAUAAGGGACUAGAAUUAGGGUGAUAAAGCCGCUUGGUGAAGUUGUUUGUCAUGGAAGAUAUGGCAACUAGAGAUUUGUCGAACCAUAUGCUCUUUACAAGCAAGUUUUCAGAAGCAUAUUUGCCUUAAUUUCUUAAGGUGAGCCAUUGUUUUGGGUUUAAUAGAGAGGCAAAUAGAGCUAUUGUUUCCUCUACAGAUGACAGUUCCUCUAAGAAUGCAACCUGUCUCAUAACCUCUAAUUUGUGAAACUUGAGCCUACAUGUUUGUUUGUGGAUGUCAGCCAUUAUUCGGCCGUGUAGUUCCCCAUUGAAGGGUUUUCAAAUGGUGACUAUACAGCACUAAGCAAACAAAGUCUUGAAUCUAGCUAUCACAAUGAAUAUGUUUAAAGAUCACAUAAUGAUGCGGAAUGGUCAUAUUAGUCCCUUUGGAGAAGUAUUAGUCACCUUCAACUGUUUUGUUAGAGAAAUGAGGACAAUUGAGUAGAUCUAGUUAGUCCAACCGGAAUGCUGAAAUUGCAAUUCUCAACUUGUUGAUUAAUAUUGCCAAGUAGACGGUCAAGUAUAUGUAUUUCACUUCAAAAUUUUUAAUUUGGGUGGCCAAUUUUGUGUGAGGUUUUGGUGGAUCAACUUAUUGGGUUCCUCUUGCAAUUAUAACUUGGGAGCUCUUUGUACUUGUAUGUAUACCAAUUAAUGUUUGGAGGUUUUAUUUAUUUAUUUUUCUUA
Molecule: RNA transcript, 5467 nt
Organism: Quercus lobata
Lineage: Eukaryota; Viridiplantae; Streptophyta; Magnoliopsida; Fagales; Fagaceae
Gene name: putative disease resistance protein RGA4
Exons: 10
Source: RefSeq, a predicted model, not a curated record